RNAcentral lists this ribosomal RNA (462 nucleotides) under uncultured bacterium. RNAcentral describes it as "partial 16S ribosomal RNA". It matches the Rfam family "Bacterial small subunit ribosomal RNA", at positions 28 to 507 of the family's 1533-position model. The record is from RNAcentral.
GACGAACGCUGGCGGCGUGCUUAACACAUACAAGUCGAACGGUGAAGCCCUUCGGGGUGGAUCAGUGGCGAACGGGUGAGUAACACGUGAGCAACCUGCCCCUGGCUCUGGGACAACCACUGGAAACGGUGGCUAAUACCGGAUACGACCCGCCUCGGCAUCGAGUGUGGGUGGAAAGUUUUUCGGCUGGGGAUGGGCUCGCGGCCUAUCAGCUUGUUGGUGAGGUGAAGGCUCACCAAGGCGACGACGGGUAGCCGGCCUGAGAGGGCGACCGGCCACACUGGGACUGAGACACGGCCCAGACUCCUACGGGAGGCAGCAGUGGGGAAUAUUGCACAAUGGGCGAAAGCCUGAUGCAGCGACGCCGCGUGAGGGAUGACGGCCUUCGGGUUGUAAACCUCUUUCAGCUCCGAAGAAGCGAAAGUGACGGUAGGAGCAGAAGAAGCACCGGCUAACUACGUG